AGUCAACAUAGCUAAUAGAACUAAUGCGUUAACAAACCAGCCACAAUCAUGCAGUAACGUUACAGUAUAUAGUCAGUAAGCAGUUACACCGUCGGGCCCCGAUGGCAAUAAAUUAAUAAAACCAGCUUACUUUGACAUGGAUGGUGUUGGAUAGUCAUAGCCAGCUAGCUAACAUAGUAUCCCUCUGUUCGAGCCGGGUGUUUGAGUACCUAAACUGGCCAGCUGAAUUUGCUAGCUAAGUGGAGGUCGUUAGCUACAAUGGUAUUUUCAACACCAGGUCAACCAGGUCAACGCCCUCAAGGCCAUGCGGCUCGAAGGUAUUCCAGGGUGCAUUAUCAGAGCAUACGCAAACAGCUGCCGGGCACGUUCGUGGUUGGAUCAGUCAUGGACAGAAACUUCUGAGACGCGGUAUCAAUGAUGAACACCCAGAGGUUCACUGGUAAACCACAUUUUACUCGGGAUCCAUCCCAGUUGGUAUUCUGUGUCCACUCGUGGUAUCUCUCUUCGGUUACACAUCCCUGGAAUAGCAGAACAGCAUAACGUCAGAAGAGGAAUGGAAAUGUCAGGGUAAACCGACGACCUGACGAACCCACCAAGAUUGUUGACUCUGCCUGUCGGAGGUGGAGUUCCAGAGCUCACAGGUGUGCCUGGCAUGGAUUGUGACUCCAUCUCGUUCUUCGCCCUCUUCAACGUGUCAUUCUCCGCCUGACUCUCCGCCAAUGCCGCCUGGCUCUGGACCAAUGCAUCAGCUGUCGCCUGUAUCUCUGCCCUCAGAGAAUGUUUCUCUUUCUGCUGGUCUGCCUUCAAUGACUCGAUCUCGCUCUUCAAAAUUGGAAUCUGAUCCAUGUGUACCUUCAUCAGAUGAGCAGAAUGGUACCGCCCUGAGCCCCCAUCGAUUACAGUGGCCUAUGAUAGAAACGGUAGAUCAGUGAAGAAUUCAAAGUGACUCCAACACACAAAUGCUGCAUACACAUUAAAAAUAAAUAAGACCUACACCACUUUUAGCUGCACAUUACUCAACGCUAGUGAGACUCAUGUCGCCUACGGCAGGCCUACAGUAUAUUUAAAAAUAUAUUUUUCAAUGACGUGACUCUUCGUCAAUAAUUACAUUUAGAGGAUUGGAGGAUUCUACAUGAAUAUCUAAGGGGCAUUUUAUCAAUUAGUAUAUUUGAGUUUAACCACAAUAUUGUUGUAUUAUUUGUUCUGUCUUUUCUGGUGGAUUAAACUGAAAUUGCAACCAACUUUCUAUGG
Oncorhynchus tshawytscha (Chinook salmon) is the source of this 1251-nucleotide long non-coding RNA. Lineage: Eukaryota; Metazoa; Chordata; Actinopteri; Salmoniformes; Salmonidae. The record is from Ensembl.